Molecule: ribosomal RNA, 307 nt
Filed under: uncultured archaeon
Lineage: Archaea
Description: bacterial SSU rRNA
Rfam family: Archaeal small subunit ribosomal RNA
Source: RNAcentral
UAAUACCAGCACCUCGAGUGGUCAGGACGUUUAUUGGGCCUAAAGCAUCCGUAGCCGGCUUUGCAAGUCUUCGGUUAAAUCCACCUGCUCAACAGAUGGGCCGCUGGAGAUACUACAAAGCUAGGGAGUGGGAGAGGCAGACGGUAUUCAGUGGGUAGGGGUAAAAUCCUCUGAUCCAUUGAGGACCACCAGUGGCGAAGGCGGUCUGCCAGAACACGUUCGACGGUGAGGGAUGAAAGCUGGGGGAGCAAACCGGAUUAGAUACCCGGGUAGUCCCAGCUGUAAACGAUGCAAACUCGGUGAUGCA